GACGAACGCUGGCGGCGUGCUUAACACAUGCAAGUCGAACGGGUCUGCCCUGUUUUUUGCGGGGUGGGUCAGUGGCGAACGGGUGAGUAACACGUGAGUAACCUGCCCCUCACUUCUGGAUAACCGCUUGAAAGGGUGGCUAAUACGGGGUGUUCUGGCUGUGCCGCAUGGUGUGGCUGGGAAAGAUUCACUUUUGUGGUGUUUUGGUGGGGGAUGGGCUCGCGGCCUAUCAGCUUGUUGGUGGGGUGAUGGCCUGCCAAGGCUUUGACGGGUAGCCGGCCUGAGAGGGUGGGCGGUCACACUGGGACUGAGAUACGGCCCAGACUCAGGCGGGAGGCAGCAGUGGGGGGUAUUGCACAAUGGGCGGAAGCCUGAUGCAGCGACGUCGCGUGAGGGAUGGAGGCCUUCGGGUUGUGAACCUCUUUCGCCGGUGAAGAAGGUCCUGCUCUUUGUGGUGGGGUUGACGGUAGCCGGGUUAUGAAGCGCCGGCUAACUACGUG
RNAcentral lists this ribosomal RNA (500 nucleotides) under uncultured bacterium. Its description in RNAcentral is "partial 16S ribosomal RNA". It matches the Rfam family "Bacterial small subunit ribosomal RNA", at positions 28 to 507 of the family's 1533-position model. The record is from RNAcentral.